Molecule: ribosomal RNA, 490 nt
Filed under: uncultured bacterium
Lineage: Bacteria
Description: partial 16S ribosomal RNA
Rfam family: Bacterial small subunit ribosomal RNA
Source: RNAcentral
AUUGAACGCUGGCGGCAGGCCUAACACAUGCAAGUCGAACGGUAACAGGAAGCAGCUUGCUGCUUCGCUGACGAGUGGCGGACGGGUGAGUAAUGUCUGGGAAGCUGCCUGAUGGAGGGGGAUAACUACUGGAAACGGUAGCUAAUACCGCAUAAUGUCGCAAGACCAAAGAGGGGGACCUUCGGGCCUCUUGCCAUCGGAUGUGCCCAGAUGGGAUUAGCUUGUUGGUGGGGUAACGGCUCACCAAGGCGACGAUCCCUAGCUGGUCUGAGAGGAUGACCAGCCACACUGGAACUGAGACACGGUCCAGACUCCUACGGGAGGCAGCAGUGGGGAAUAUUGCACAAUGGGCGCAAGCCUGAUGCAGCCAUGCCGCGUGUAUGAAGAAGGCCUUCGGGUUGUAAAGUACUUUCAGCGGGGAGGAAGGGAGUAAAGUUAAUCCCUUUGCUCAUUGACGUUACCCGCAGAAGAAGCACCGGCUAACUCCGUG